CCCUUAGACGUUCUGGGCCGCACGCGCGCUACACUGACCAGUGCAACAAGCAUCCGUCCUUGGCCGACAGGCCCGGGCAAUCUUUGAACGCUGGUCGUGAUGGGGAUAGACUUUUGCAAUUUUUGGUCUUCAACGAGGAAUUCCUAGUAAACGCAAGUCAUCAACUUGCAUUGAUUACGUCCCUGCCCUUUGUACACACCGCCCGUCGCACCUACCGAUUGAAUGGUCCGGUGAAGCCUCCGGAUUGGCGCGCACCCCGGUGCCGCCGAGAAGUUGGCUAAACCUUAUCAUUUAGAGGAAGGUGAAGUCGUAACA
This 315-nucleotide ribosomal RNA is filed under the name uncultured eukaryote. Its description in RNAcentral is "partial 18S ribosomal RNA". It matches the Rfam family "Eukaryotic small subunit ribosomal RNA", at positions 1470 to 1796 of the family's 1831-position model. The record is from RNAcentral.